RNAcentral lists this ribosomal RNA (228 nucleotides) under uncultured bacterium. Its description in RNAcentral is "partial 16S ribosomal RNA". It matches the Rfam family "Bacterial small subunit ribosomal RNA", at positions 524 to 750 of the family's 1533-position model. The record is from RNAcentral.
UACGAAGGGGGCUAGCGUUGCUCGGAAUCACUGGGCGUAAAGCGCACGUAGGCGGCUUUUUAAGUCAGAGGUGAAAUCCUGGAGCUCAACUCCAGAACUGCCUUUGAUACUGGAGAGCUUGAGUCCGGGAGAGGUGAGUGGAACUGCGAGUGUAGAGGUGAAAUUCGUAGAUAUUCGCAAGAACACCAGUGGCGAAGGCGGCUCACUGGCCCGGUACUGGACGCUGAC